Molecule: long non-coding RNA, 547 nt
Filed under: Trifolium pratense (red clover)
Lineage: Eukaryota; Viridiplantae; Streptophyta; Magnoliopsida; Fabales; Fabaceae
Description: long non-coding RNA (TPRA_LNC006141)
Source: RNAcentral
GAGGCCCACGCAACAAAACAAGCAAGCAUGCUUCUUUGAUCUAGGCCAAGUAUCAGUAUUUUUCUGGAGAACGUUCUUGGAUCGAACAACUUUUUCUGCACAUUCUUUGAUGAUCCAAUCUAGUUGUCUCUAGUUGUUGGUAGUGAUUCAAAAAAAGCUUCUACCGUGCUUGUUCGUGGAGAACAAGUUUAUACAGCUCAUGGCUACUCAUACUCACGCUCCUUAAUGACGUCAUCAUUCUGAGAACGUUCUUAGAAGCAUCAUUCUCUCUCAUUAAACAUUAUUUGAUUUGAUUUUUUAAAGAACAAACAGCUAGUUUCUUUCUCCACAUCAGCUCUACUUGGAGGCCACGAAACUCAGAGCAAACUACAUCUAUAAAUAGCACACCUGGGUGCUUUGAAGAUUCAAGAGUUUCACUACAACUAUCAAGAUUUACAGUUGUCUUUUUCGAACACGUUAUCAAGCUCUUCCACUCUCACUCCCAGCUCUCUAAAUCAUACACUUGGAUCUGUACACUACUGAGUGAACUGAGUGUUUUCGUUCUAAG